GCUAGUGACUGCCAUCGCUGCUGCUAGAGCAAAAAGACAACACCUUAAAGCAGUGAUGCUCAGUGACUCAGGGUUGUUGGAAGGAAUAAAUGGAAAGGAGAAUGAUGUAAGCUGUGUUGGAUCUCCACUGAGGAGAAAGGCAAGUUCCUGUACCCUGAUUCUCCCCUUACUGCCUCCUGUCUGUUGCAUCCUGCCCUUCUCAUGAUCCCAGGAGCUGAAAGAGGAAAGACAUCAUUGGGUUGCAUUUUUAUGACUCUGGGAAGCAACCAGGAUUUCUGACGCUUAUGGUCCCAAGAGGGUUGAGUGAUAUACUUGUUCUGAAAUACAGUUCUGCUCUGAGUGUCCUGGGGACUUUACCUUUCCAUUAGUCACUGAACAUAUGCAACAAUCAAGUCACAUAAACAUGAAUACUUUG
Long non-coding RNA from Eublepharis macularius, 415 nucleotides. RefSeq lists it as uncharacterized. The record is from RefSeq and is a predicted model, not a curated record. The transcript is spliced from 4 exons. NCBI's taxonomy places the organism in Eukaryota, Metazoa, Chordata, Lepidosauria, Squamata, Eublepharidae.